CCUGGUUGAUCCUGCCAGUAGUCUAUGCUUGUCUCAAAGAUUAAGCCAUGCAUGUGCAAGUAUGAACUAACUCGAAAUGUGAAAUUGCGAAUGGCUCAUUAAUUCAGUUAUAGUUUGUUUGAUGGUAUGCUCGCUCGGAUAACCAUAGUAAUUCUAGAACUAAUACGUGCAACAAACCCUGACUUCUGGGAGGGCGCAUUUAUUAGAUAAAAGGCUGAUGUGGACUCUGUAUGCUGAUCCGAUGAUUCAUGAUAACUUGAUGGAUUGCACGGCCUUUGUGCUGGCGACGCAUCAUUCAAAUUUCUACCCUAUCAACUUUCAAUGGUGGGAUAGGGGGCCCUACCAUGGUGGUGACGGGUGACAGAGAAUUAGGGUUCGAUCCAGAGAGGGAGCCUGAAAAACGGCUACCACAUCCAAGGAAGACAGCAGGCGCGCAAAUUACCCAACCCUGACACGGGGAGGUAGUGACAAUAAAUAACAAUACUGGACGCAUUAAUGUCUGGUAAUUGGAACGGGUACAAUCUAAAUCCCUUAACGAGGAUCCAUUGGAGCUUAAAUCUGGUGCCAGCAGCCGCGGUAAUUCCAGCUCCAAUAGCAUAUAUUUAAGUUGUUGCAGUUAAAAAGCUCGUAGUUGGACCUUGGGCCAGGUCUACCGGUCCGCCUUUUAGCGAGCCCCGACUGAUUUGACCCUUCUGCCGGCGAUACGCUCCUAGGCUUAACUGUCCGGGUCGUGCCUCCGGCGCUGUUACUUUGAAGAAAUUAGAUUGCUCAAAGCAAGCCAUUGCUCUGGAUACAUUAGCAUGGGAUAACAUCAUAGGAUUAUGAUCCUAUUGUGUUGGCCUUCGGGAUCGGAGUAAUGAUUAAUAGGGAUGGUCAGGGGCAUUCGUAUUUCAUAGUCGGAGGUGAAAUUCUUAGAUUUUUUAAAGAUGAACAACUGCGAAAGCAUUUGACAAGGAUGUUUUCAUUGAUCAAGAACGAAAGUUGGGGGCUCAAAGAAGAUCAGAUACCGUCCUAGUAUUAACCAUAAACGAUGCCAACCAGGGGUUGACGGAUGUUGCUUAUAGGACUCCGGCGGCAUCUUAUGAGAAAUCAAAAGUCUUUGGGUUCCGGGGGGUGUAUGGUCGCAAGGCUGAAACAUAAAGGAAUUGACGGAAGGGCACCACCAGGCGUGGAGCCUGCGGCUUCAUUUGACUCAACACGGGGAAACUUACCAUGUCCAGACAUAGCAAGGAUUGAUAGACUGAGAGCUCUUUCUUGAUUCUAUGGAUGGUGGUGCAUGGCCGUUCUUAGUUGGUGGGAUGAUUUGUCUGGUUAAUUCCGUUAAUGAACGAGACCUCAGCCUACUAACUAGCUAUGUGGAGUUAUCCCUCUACAGCUAGCUUCUUAGAGGGACUAUGGCCGUUUAGGCCAUGGAAGUUUGAGGCAAUAAGUCUGUGAUGUCCUUAGAUGUUCUGGGCCGCACGCGCGCUACACUGAUGUAUUCAGCGAGUAUAUAGCCUUGGCCGAUAGGCCCGGGUAAUCUUGGGAAAUUUCAUCAUGAUGGGGAUAGAUCAUUGUAAUUGUUGGUCUUCAACGAGGACUGCCUAGUAAGCGCGAGUCGUCAGCUUGCGUUGACUAGGUUGUGCUCUUUGUACACACCACCCAUCGCUCCUACCGAUUGUGUGGUCCAGUGAAGUGUUCAGAAUGCAGCGACGGAGGUUGGUCGCUGCCCCUGACGUCACGAGAAGUCCAUUGAACCUUUCAUAUAA
Molecule: ribosomal RNA, 1748 nt
Filed under: Oropetium thomaeum
Lineage: Eukaryota; Viridiplantae; Streptophyta; Magnoliopsida; Poales; Poaceae
Description: SSU rRNA
Rfam family: Eukaryotic small subunit ribosomal RNA
Source: RNAcentral